Xyrauchen texanus (razorback sucker) is the source of this 667-nucleotide long non-coding RNA. RefSeq lists it as uncharacterized. The record is from RefSeq and is a predicted model, not a curated record. The transcript has 5 exons. NCBI's taxonomy places the organism in Eukaryota, Metazoa, Chordata, Actinopteri, Cypriniformes, Catostomidae.
CAGGAACCACAUCUAACCACAUCGAUCUCAAACCCUUGUCGCUCAAGAAAAACCACAACAACAAAAAAUUGUGUGCUUGCAGUGGAUAAUGUCCUGUAGACAGCAGUACCUGAUGGAGAGGUAGAUUGAUCUGGUGCAGCAGACUCUUAAUGGCUGUCUUGAGCUCAGAAUAGAGAAGGAAGUCUGCAGCCUUAUCUGCUCUUUCCACCUCCACAGGGCCAGACAGUGACUGCAGCCAUUCCCACUCAUCCCUGGACUCAGUUCCACAGAACUGGACUGCACAAGAUUCAUAUCAUACAGUGAUGAAGGCCAAUAAGAAUAGUACCAUGUUCUGUCCAGGGUUCCCAUUCUUUUCAAGGCACAGUUUUCCAGGACUUCUCCAGGACAUUUUCUGUUCCCAACAAGUGUAAUAUUUAAGCAAAAAGCAUGUUGGGCAUCCGUUGAGGAACCAGAACCUUGAUCUGAUCCACAGAGCUGCUGAGCUUCAGGAAACCCAGAUAAAGCCCAGAGGACAGCCGGUGCUGACCGCGUCUCUGGAGGAUGUCUAGGGCAUAAGGUUCCUCAGGGGUGGAAAGAGACUUCCUCUGACUCUGCAGUUUGGAUACCUGCAUCCACUUCCCAUUGAAAAAGGAAUAGAGGCUGUCCAUCUCCCUUACUGUAACAAGCA